GUUGCUUUGCUUACGAAUAUGUUGACACUUUCCGACGUCAAACCUCCAAACCCUCUCUCCAAUUGCUGUAUACACAGACAUCGGUCUCAUUUCUCUCUCUAUUUUUCUGCAACUUUCUUUAGUUUAUUUUCUUCUUUACCCGAGCUCCCUUCAGUCUUAAUCCGUACAAAUCUUCCACUCUCAUUUUCCCUCCUUUUUUGUUAUUUUUUUAUUUUUUUUUCUGUUUCUUCAUUGAUUGACCCAUCUAUCUUCAAUUUUCAUUUUGAGGUUUUGUUUGAGUCGUUUUUCUUAUGGGUUCAUUGAUUUUUGUUGAAAGAAUCUGAAUUGGCGGGAGCCAACGGUCAAUUAUGUGGUUUUAGGAGGUGGGUGGUGAUUGGAUUUGGAUUUGGGAUUGGAAAACGUUUGAAUUGUUGUGAGUUUUGAUGGCUAACCCAUCUGGGAACCAUCAAGAAGCUGGCCAACCGUCGUCUUCCUUCGAUGGAGGGAACCCCAGCAACGGUAAUUCGACACCUGUGCCUGCAGCGGAUAAUUCGAGUUCGGCUCUUGCUAUGAAGCAUAACCCAGGUAUCUCUACGGAUUGGACAUCUGAUGAGCAGGUCACACUGGAAGAAGGGCUUAAGAAAUAUGCCGCAGAGUCUAGUGUUAUUCGGUAUGCCAAGAUUGCAAUGCAACUACCAAAUAAGACUGUACGAGAUGUUGCUUUGCGUUGCAGAUGGAUGAAUAAAAAGGAAAAUAGCAAGAGAAGGAAGGAAGAACACAAUUUAACAAGAAAGAACAAAGAUAAAAAGGAAAGAGUAUCUGACUCUUCAAUGAAGUCAGCACAGGUUGCAGCAAGGCCUAAUGUGCCUCCUUAUGGAAUGCCUAUGAUUCCUAUGGACAAUGAUGACGGUGUCUCAUAUAAAGCUAUUGGUGGUACAACUGGAGAGCUUCUUGAACAGAAUGCACAUGCAAUGAAUCAAAUUUCUUCUAAUCUUGCAUCUUUUCAGAUACAAGAUAAUAUCAGUCUCUUCUGCCAAACGCGGGACAACAUCCUCAAAAUAAUGAACGAUGUUAGGUGAGUUGUCUCGUGGACUAAGUCGAAGUGUGUGCAAGCUGGUUCGUAUGCUCACGGACAUAGAAAAGGGUUUCUUCUAGUGAAGUUGGAGUAUCCUUUUGGUCAUAACCAAUGGAUGUUUAAAAUGAUAUUAGCUUAGACUUGUUUUCUGCGUACUUUCCCCCCUUAUUUGUAAGGGUCUCCUUAGCUUUUCAAAUAUUCUUACUUGUUAAUGUACCUUUAGUAAAAUUGAAAACAUUUAAUAUAUAUAUAUAUAUAUAUAUAUAUAUAUAUAUAUAUAUAUAUAUUCUUAAUGCUGUCGAAAGACAAUUGGAUAAAAGAACGCUCAAUGUCAUACAAAUACGUGGACACAUUGCACAAAUAAUCCAUGCUGUUAAUGUACAUCUAGUAGGAAACUUCACUUUUAAUUUUCCUGGCUUAACUUUAACUUGGUGAACUUUUACUUUCAAGAUAGCCAUGCUGUGCUGUUGAAAAGUCGAUUUGCUUCCAGCAUCUUAUUUAGGUAGACUUGGGAGAUAAUCCUAUGUUCUUUCCUCAUGGAAACCUAUCUCACAGACGAUAACAAAGAAACAGCCAAAUGUAGGAAUUGUUGUUCCAAGGCAGCACUCACUCGCAUUAUUUCCUAUUAGUUUUUAAUGACACUGCUUGCUUGCCCAAGCGUAUUUAUAUAUGUGAAGAAGCCAAUAAAAUAGGAGACUUCAGCCUUGAACUAAAAUAUUGUUCCUCUCCCGAUGCUUAAGAGGUCUUCACUUCCACAGGUCAGUGGAAUGAAAUAAGGGCCUUCUAGCCAAAUGGUUUUGGUGCUUGAUUGUAAACUUAUGGCUCUUAAUACAAAAAGGAUAGAUGGAUUUGAUUUGGUUCAUGGGAUGAGAACAUGUGGCUUUCUAGUUUUUGCAAACUUAAGAUCUUGAGAAGCCCUUUGUCUAAGAUUAUUAAUUAAGCUUGAAGAUUUGUUCCUUAGUUUCUCUUCCAUGAAGACUAGAGAGAUUAGUUAUCGGCCUUUUUUCAGCUUUGAUGAUCAAAGUGGGGUGGCAGUAGAAAACUCAUAGUACACACAGGUACAUCUUAAUGUUAUCUUUUUCUGGAGCAGAACUUUCCCCAAGUCUAGCUGAACACACCCUGCUUGGGAUCAAUGUGAGUAUGGUGAGGAGGCUGAUAUUGGGCUGCAGAUUUCCUCUCUGGCUAACAAUCUCCCAUAAUUUUCUAAGCUUCUCGUCAGUUGGAAACCGUAGUGGAUGAUUAUUCUAAGAGCCACUUAUCAUAAAUUGAGGACCAAGUUGAAUGUUUGGAAAUGCGUUCUUUCUAAAGGAGAUAGGGUGUCCCUUGCCCAAUCCAUCCUUAAUGUUUUACUCCAAAUCCAUUUGAAUGUAGAAGUUGCCUAAAAAAUGCAAGGUUUCUGUAGGCACUCACUAUUUCUGAUAUAUUUCAAUAGAAAGUAGAGGAUACAAGCUUCCCGAGCAUUUACAGAGUGCUCAAGCAUAGGAUUUCCCAUUAGGUAAGAUCUAAGAUUAGAAGGUUUUGCGGCAAAAGUUCUUCCUCCUACCUCAGUCUAAAAUUAUGGAGUUGGAUGGAUCUUGAUAGGGGAGUGAUUUCCUCCGAUGCUAUGUCUGGGCUAUGAGAUGCCACGAAGUUUGUAUAGGGCAUAUAACCAACCAUUACACACCCAUUUAGAUUGUUGAGAUAAUAUUAAGUUUACUUGUUAUUUCACUCGUUCCCCCUUACAAAGAAGGCAAGUCUCAAAAGAAAUUCCAAUGAAGCAAAUCAUGACACUGGAAGAAAUUUUAAUAAAGCACCAAUGGUUAUGCUCAUUACCAGAGAAUUUCAGUGACACUUGAUGCAUCACAGACAAUUCCCAUGAAGCAACGUAGCAACACAAUAAUCAAACCUAUUAUGUUCAAAUAUUGAGCACCGGUGAUGUCUAGAAGUGCGUCAGACCCAGCUGAUCAGGCUUAUUAUCAGUUAUUGACGAAGAUUCAAUUUGGUAAUGCCAGAAAACACUGGCUAUACAAGGCUUCAACGAAGGUGAUUUUCAACUGUUGAGAAAAGAUUUCAAACUUCAACAGAAGGAAAACCGUUUGAAGAAAACAGAAAAAAGAAAUUCAGCUAAGAGAUUUCAGCCAUGCUCUGAUACUACGUUGCAAUGCACAUCAUGUAAGAGAACAAUCUACGUCUUCAAAGGGGAGUAUUUUCUGGGGAGUUCUUUUGGAACCGGUCUCUGUUUGAUUUGGAAGAUUUAUUCGAGUUACUCUGGGAUGGCAUUGACAAGACAAUUUUGAGGCAGCCGGCUGCUACUCUUUCUUCUCUCGUCUUGAAGAUUUGGGCGUGCAAGUUUUUAUAUUCGAAUGGGCUCCUCUUGAGGGUUUUCAAGCUUAAAUGAAAUGCCGGAAGUAAUGAAGCAGAUGCCACCUCUUCCGGUGAAGGUGAACGAAGAGUUAGCGAACACGAUCCUUCCGCCGACUUCUCAUUCCUUGCAAUCAUGAAAAAUCUUCAACAAAAACUGGUUCAGCAAAAACACAGACUCCCUUUCAAUUCACUUCCACAUGCCAGGAAAGGAAAGGAAAGUAUAUUUUCUCAACUGAACCUUACCUUCUCAAUUCAGAAUUUUCUGCUUAUCAUCAAAUUGUUUAGUCUUUCGGUUCACAAAGCUUGUUCCCCUUUAAUUAUUAUUAUUAUUUUUUGUUUCUUUAGCAUAUAUGGAUUUAUACAUUAGCUUCAAGAGGUUAGAUUGUAACUUAGAUGCUGUGUAAUAAUUAGGAAUUGUUUUCUUUCUAAUGGUCUGGGAAAUGAAAAGUAAUAAACAAUGGUUGAUUAUUUGUA
Molecule: RNA transcript, 3871 nt
Organism: Cucumis melo (muskmelon)
Lineage: Eukaryota; Viridiplantae; Streptophyta; Magnoliopsida; Cucurbitales; Cucurbitaceae
Exons: 8
Source: RefSeq, a predicted model, not a curated record